Lepisosteus oculatus (spotted gar) is the source of this 102-nucleotide small nuclear RNA. Lineage: Eukaryota; Metazoa; Chordata; Actinopteri; Semionotiformes; Lepisosteidae. The record is from Rfam.
UACAAUACAAUUUGCUUUGACAGCACAUUGGAAUGACAGAGAAGAUUAGCAUGUCCCCUGCGCAUGGAUGACACGCAAAUUCGUGAAGCAUUCCAUAUUUUU